GGUAAUACGGAGGGUGCAAGCGUUAUCCGGAAUCAUUGGGUUUAAAGGGUCCGCAGGCGGGCAUAUAAGUCAGUGGUGAAAKCCCAUCGCUUAACSAUGGAACUGCCAUUGAUACUGUAUGCCUUGAAUUCGGUCGAAGUGGGCGGAAUAUGACAUGUAGCGGUGAAAUGCUUAGAUAUGUCAUAGAACACCGAUAGCGAAGGCAGCUCACUAGGCCUGGAUUGACGCUCAGGGACGAAAGCGUGGGKAGCAAACAGGAUUAGAUACCCUGGUAGUCCACGCCGUAAACGAUGAUUACUCGAUAUUAGCGAUAUACAGUUAGUGUCUAAGCGAAAGUGAUAAGUAAUCCACCUGGGGAGUACGAUCGCAAGGUUGAAACUCAAAGG
RNAcentral lists this ribosomal RNA (386 nucleotides) under uncultured bacterium. RNAcentral's name for it is "bacterial SSU rRNA". It matches the Rfam family "Bacterial small subunit ribosomal RNA", at positions 519 to 907 of the family's 1533-position model. The record is from RNAcentral.